GGAUGUGAGGGCGAUCUGGCUGUGACAUCUGUCAUCCCAUUGAUUGCCAGGGUUGAUUCAGCUGAUCUGGCUGGCUAGGCGGGUGUCUUCUUCCUCCCUCACCGCUCCAUGUGGGUCCGUCCCGAAGCUGUGCGCUCGGUCGAAGAGGACGACCAUCCCCGAUAGAGGAGGACCGUCUUCGGUCACGGGUAUACGAGUAGCUGCGCUCCCCUGCUAGAACCUCCAAACAAGCUCUCAAGAAAAACAAAAGCAAAAGCAAAAAACAAACAAAAAAAAACGACUCAGGAGGCUGAGGCAGGAGAAUUGCCUGAACCC
Molecule: small nuclear RNA, 315 nt
Filed under: Cebus imitator (Panamanian white-faced capuchin)
Lineage: Eukaryota; Metazoa; Chordata; Mammalia; Primates; Cebidae
Description: 7SK RNA (ENSCCAG00000015028.1)
Rfam family: 7SK RNA
About the family: 7SK was discovered as an abundant small nuclear RNA in the mid-70s but a possible function has only recently been suggested. Two independent studies have found that 7SK RNA binds the CDK9/cyclin T complex (known as elongation factor P-TEFb). P-TEFb activates transcription by phosphorylating the C-terminal domain of RNA polymerase II.
Source: Rfam by way of RNAcentral